AUUGAACGCUGGCGGAAUGCUUUACACAUGCAAGUCGAACGGUAGAGGGGGCAACCCCUCGAGAGUGGCGAACGGGUGAGUAAUAUAUCGGAACGUGCCCAGUCGUGGGGGAUAACGUAGCGAAAGUUACGCUAAUACCGCAUACGAUCUAAGGAUGAAAGCGGGGGAUCGCAAGACCUCGCGCGAUUGGAGCGGCCGAUAUCAGAUUAGGUAGUUGGUGGGGUAAAGGCUCACCAAGCCAACGACCUGUAGCGGGUCUGAGAGGACGACCAGCCACACUGGAACGGAGACACGGUCCAGACUCCUACGGGAGGCAGCAGUGGGGAAUUUUGGACAAUGGACGCAAGUCUGUUCCAGCCAUUCCGCGUGCAGGAUGAAGGCCCUCGGUUUGUAAACUGCUUUUGUACGGAACGAAAAGGUCUCUCUUAAUACGGGGGGCUCAUGACGGUACCGUAAGAAUAAGCACCGGCUAACUACGUGCCAGCAGCCGCCGUAA
RNAcentral lists this ribosomal RNA (496 nucleotides) under uncultured bacterium. RNAcentral describes it as "partial 16S ribosomal RNA". It matches the Rfam family "Bacterial small subunit ribosomal RNA", at positions 30 to 523 of the family's 1533-position model. The record is from RNAcentral.